GCACAGCAUAUUUAUAAUGGUCAAGGACUGAAAAUCCUCGUGUCGGCGGUUCAAAUCCGCCUCCUGGCA
Molecule: transfer RNA, 69 nt
Filed under: Symploca sp. SIO2G7
Lineage: Bacteria; Bacillati; Cyanobacteriota; Cyanophyceae; Coleofasciculales; Coleofasciculaceae
Description: tRNA-Leu
Source: RNAcentral